Molecule: ribosomal RNA, 760 nt
Filed under: uncultured Prevotella sp.
Lineage: Bacteria; Pseudomonadati; Bacteroidota; Bacteroidia; Bacteroidales; Prevotellaceae
Description: bacterial SSU rRNA
Rfam family: Bacterial small subunit ribosomal RNA
Source: RNAcentral
GAUGAACGCUGGCUACAGGCUUAACACAUGCAAGUCGAGGGGAAACGACGGGGAAGCUUGCUUCCCCGGGCGUCGACCGGCGCACGGGUGAGUAACGCGUAUCCAACCUGCCUCUGACUGAGGGAUAACCCGUCGAAAGUCGGCCUAAUACCUCAUGGUAUCGUCUGCGGGCAUCCAACGACGAUUAAAGAUUUCAUCGGUCAGGGAUGGGGAUGCGUCUGAUUAGCUUGUUGGCGGGGUAACGGCCCACCAAGGCUACGAUCAGUAGGGGUUCUGAGAGGAAGGUCCCCCACAUUGGAACUGAGACACGGUCCAAACUCCUACGGGAGGCAGCAGUGUUGAAUAUUGGUCAAUGGGCGAGAGCCUGAACCAGCCAAGUAGCGUGCAGGAAGACGGCCCUAUGGGUUGUAAACUGCUUUUAUGCGGGGAUAAAGUGAGGGACGUGUCCCUCAUUGCAGGUACCGCAUGAAUAAGGACCGGCUAAUUCCGUGCCAGCAGCCGCGGUAAUACGGAAGGUCCUGGCGUUAUCCGGAUUUAUUGGGUUUAAAGGGAGCGUAGGCCGUGGAUUAAGCGUGUUGUGAAAUGCAGGUGCUCAACGUCUGCACUGCAGCGCGAACUGGUCCACUUGAGUGUGCGCAACGCAGGCGGAAUUCGUCGUGUAGCGGUGAAAUGCUUAGAUAUGACGAAGAACUCCGAUUGCGAAGGCAGCUUGCGGGAGCACAACUGACGCUGAAGCUCGAAAGUGCGGGUAUCGAACAGG